RNAcentral lists this ribosomal RNA (252 nucleotides) under uncultured bacterium. RNAcentral describes it as "partial 16S ribosomal RNA". It matches the Rfam family "Bacterial small subunit ribosomal RNA", at positions 524 to 776 of the family's 1533-position model. The record is from RNAcentral.
UACGGGGGGGCAAGCGUUGUUCGGAAUUACUGGGCGUAAAGGGCUCGUAGGCGGCCAACUAAGUCCGACGUGAAAUCCCCCGGCUUAACCAGGGAACUGCGUCUGAUACUGGAUGGCUUGAGUUUGGGAGAGGGAUGCGGAAUUCCAGGUGUAGCGGUGAAAUGCGUAGAUAUCAGGAGGAACACCGGUGGCGAAGGCGGCUAUCUGGACAGAGUCUGACGCUGAUGCGCGAAAGCUAGGGGAGCAAACAGG